Tympanuchus pallidicinctus (lesser prairie-chicken) is the source of this 4530-nucleotide long non-coding RNA. RefSeq lists it as uncharacterized. Lineage: Eukaryota; Metazoa; Chordata; Aves; Galliformes; Phasianidae. The transcript has 3 exons. The record is from RefSeq and is a predicted model, not a curated record.
GACGCCCACCCGAAGGGCUUUUGCGACCUUCCUCACCGCGAACAGCUCGACGCCACCCCUCCCCUCUGUUCUGAUCUCAUUCUGCCUCGCUGCGCUCCGACAGCGAGCAAAGAACUCUUCCCCGUGCAGAAGAGCGGUGUGGCGGAUCGCCCUUUUCCUCCCGACCGCCAGCCAGGCCGACCGGCCCCGCUCCACGGCGCGGCAGCAGAAAAAAAGGAGGAGUGAAGUCUCCCAGCGAACUGCAGCUGCCCUUGAUGUGGAGAACCAAUGAUUUGGGUACUACAUGUUAUUUCAGCUUCUUGAUGGGACAAGUCAAAACAAAGAGGAAACGCUGAGACAGUGGACUACAGCUUUGGAAUCACUGCAAUACAGCUGUGUAGAUUUUAAGGCCAGAAAAAAAAGAAAAAAAAAAAGGCAAGGGUCAUCUAUUCUGUCUUCCUGCAUUACAUAGGCCAAAAAAAAUUCCACCCCAUCAUUCUUGCUUUCAAGUCUAGGGAAUACAGAUCAUGUGUACUGUUGUUUGCCAGUGUGCUGUAAUGCAUUCUAGCAGCACUUAAGACUGUUCCCUCAUCUUACUAAAACGCUUUCCAUCAGCUCAUUAUUUCCAGGCUUUUCUGAAGCUGUAGCCAGGAUAGAUAUGAUAAGCGUUGUUAUAAAUACCUGUCUUGAUAGCAGUGUUAACAAUUUGAAAACAAAUAUAGUCACUUCUUACAGUUUUCUCUCUUACAUGUUGUAUUUCACAUGCUCAGUUCCAGUGAAGCAAGAUAGAAUCAUGCUUGUAACAGACUGAUGGCUUGAAAAUAGUUUGCUGUAGUAACUGGGUUGCCAUUAAUGCUUUAGCAUCUGGGCAAACAAACUGGUGAAUAUUUACACAAAGAGUUCCAGCCCUAAAGUUAUAAUAAAUUUAGGAAUCUUUGGCUCUAUCGUACUCCCUUGGCAGAACCCCAAUGCUCCUACGUGCAUUAAUAUUCCUGUAGCUGAUUGUCUAAAACCAGUUUAAUACAGUGCUCAGCCUGCAGUGUCUGUAUUUAUAAAUCCAGCUUCUCUGAAUCUGAUCCAAAGCCCACUGACAUCAGUGAAAAACUCCCAGUGACUUUGAACGGAUAUGAACUAGGCCUUCCAUGAGUAUAAAUCUGCUCAUUUCAGUGCAUGCAGAGGGUGAAACAAAAGCAUCUAAGACUGCUGGAGCAAAGGAAGGGGCUUUGCCCAGUCUGUUCCCCCCCACACAGCCAUCUGUCCCCCCCCCCCCCCGAUAGUGCUGACUUCCUCAGUUUGGAGGUGUAAUAUGAGUCAUACUAUCAGGAGCAGCAGUUUCUGCGUAAUCACAGCAAUGACCAGCAUAGAAGCAGCAAAGCACAUCGCAAACCUGAACAUUUCCGUGCAGCAAAGCAAUUCAGGACACAAAACCUCGUUCAGUAGCCUUGACCAGGAGCACAGAGACAUGACCCGUGCUUGCCUUGUUGUUUAUAUAAAUCACAGUGACUUUGAACUGUGGCUAGGAGUGCCUCUCAUUCUGAAGGAAGAGAGUGGUUCCUUAAAGCAUUAAAAGGUGUCAGUUGUUUUAGGGGGAUGUAUGUUGAUACAUCCAAAGGGGUCUAAUGCAAGGAAGCAUACAACAUCCCUAAAUAUCAGAUGUCUUUGAGUUGUUUCAUGAAACAAUUAGGGUUUGAGGUACUUAAAAAUAGCUCUAGAACAUAGGCUGCUGAACUCAUUUCAGGUUAUUAUUUAUAUUACUCUAUAUCUGUGAGCUAAAAACAACAACUCGUGUUGUUAGAAAGUAGUCACCCACCAGCCGCUCAGUGUGGACAAUACUGUGUUCAGAUGUCCCAAAAGUCCUCUAGUUACAGCCCAUGAAAGAGUCAUCCUCUGAAAUGCUUUUCAACACGUUCUCCUAAGGCUCUGACAGGCUGAAGGUCACUUUGCCUGCAAUCUCUGGUUAUGAUGUGCAGGAAGACCCGAAUGUGUCUGCGUCAGAGUGCACAGCACCCUCAUGUGGAAAGCCAAAGCACAUGCACACCCAUCUCUUGGUAUGACCAAACUCCAUUUAUACGCAUAUGAAUGGAUUAUGGCAUGGAAAAUAGCGUGGCAAUAAAUAAAGUAACUGUUGCAAAUUACAUGCUGCCAAAACGGUAUACUACAGAGUGGAGCACUGGGUAUUACUGCGGGGGAAAUAACUGAAAGGCACAAUUAGGUUUUGAUGGUUUGUGACUGGUGGCAUAGGAGGUUAUGUGGGCUGGGUUCCUCCUUUUUUCCAGCAGAUUUAUGUAGGAGAAAGUAAUAAAAUAAUACAGAUCAAGGAACAGAGAAUGGCCAACAGCAAACAAGGGAGGCUGAAAGAGAUAAGACAGCAGUCAGCAGUUCCAAGCAAGGAGGAAAUUGGCUGUGUGCUUAAUUUGGGACAAUAAAGUUUGUGUUUGUUCUCAGGAUUUGUAAAUGCAUUUAUCUAUCUUCCAUACAAAGUGCAGAUGUGCUCUUUGUAGCAGUGACUGAGGCACCAAAGGAAAGCACCUUCCUUUCUGAACCAUACACUUGCUCACUGUUGCCCAUCACCUCACCUCCCUGUGUAGGGGCUGGAUUCUGGGAUGCAUGACAAGAAACCUUGAUGAGAAAAAUCCUAGAAAUCCUCCCUGCACUGGUUUUCAGGGGAUUUAGAAACAGGAAUAUAUCUGCUUGUGUAGGUGAAAGAAAGGUGCAGAAGAUCUGCUGGUAAAGAGGCACCUGUGGAUACCCACAGCAGCACAGCUCCAGAUGCAUGAGGACUUGCUAGUGUGAGCUGUGCUGUGAGAGUUCGGAGUGGCCGCAGAGCAAUGCUCUCCAAUACCAUUGUUCUGGCAGCUGAUCAUGCAUUUAUCUUUCCAAUAAUAAAGCUUCACUUUUGCCAAAACUCAAACACAGAAUGGAUCGUGUGCUUUUUGUUAGUGACUCUGUGAUGAGCCAAAUGCCAGCCUUUUCUUGCUGUUAAAUUGCCUCUCUCACUUUGAUUUCAUAUGCACAAAUGCAGACAGGGCUGUGCUUCCUCACCUCACAGAGUAACAAGUUACGUAAACAGGGUCCACUUCCACUUUUUAGUGACUCCCAAAUGCUCUAAUAGAAGUGCCAUAAUCUUCUGCAAUGAUCCCAAACAUUGCAGCUCGCAGUGAUGUUAGACUGUUUUGGAACAAAACUGAAUUCUUUUGCCCUUGAUUACUUUUCAGUCUGUUUACCUCUGCACAUUCCAGUGACCUUUUCAGACCUCAGAGGGAGGUUGUUUCAGCAGUUCAAGUGUUGAUAAUGUUUGCAAUGCUGUGGUAGUCAGGGAGAGUGGCAGUGAGAGGUGACCCGAGGUGUGAAACGCUGCUUGCACACUGGGGGACUUCUUGGGAAGUUUCUCUUGUUCCCUGCAGUGGAUAUGGAGGCAGUUGUUCCUCUCAACCCCAUUUUAAGGAAGACCAGGGCUGGGUGAUAAGGUCCUGACUGUCCUGUUUCAGAAAAGCACAGAAAUUGCUUCCUCGGGUGCUAUGAGAAGUCCACGAACCUGCUGUUCCUGCAGUCUGCUCUGCCUGCAGCGUGGGCAAAGAACAGGCAUUGUCCUUGGACAUCCAGACAGUUGAGCUGUGCAGACUGCUUUCCUGAUGUGAACCUAAGAGACGAUGCUAACUUUAUAUUCCAGCAAGGGCAGAAUCUCUACAAUGCCAUGGGCAGUACCACCGAGAAGGUGAUGCUUCACUGAUGUAUCUAUUAUGACUACAAUCAAACAGCAAGCAAUGUUGAACAAUUUUACGGUAGCACGACCUUUAAGUAAUAGUGAAACCCAGCCUAUAUCAGUAUCCUCCAGUCAGCUGCUGAGCCCCUCCCCACAGCUGUUUUGCAGCAUCUCUCCUGCGUUUGGAUCGGAAUCACAAGAAUCCUCAGGUGGUGUCUGCAUUCACACUGCCCUCUCCAGCACGACUUGGCUCUGCCUGUUUCCUCCUGCAGUGUGGAAAGUCGUCUGGGAACCUUUAUGCUGGCUUUGUGCUGUGCAUGGAUCACAUCCUAUGAAGUUGAACUCCUGGGUGUUCAGUAACCUGGCCUGACGUUUCUUCUGUGCAACCACAUCAAUACAGUGUUGCUUCUGAACUUCCUGUUAGGUAGCUGAAGUUUCCCACUGCACUGUCUGCAGCUGAUGCCUUGAGAGCAGCUCUGUCCUAAGUAAACUGAGGACGACUGUUCUCUUCACAGCAUAAUUCCAAUGAACUAUGUAGGAAUCAUUCCAAGAUAUGUGUUUUGUCUCGGGAGAUAAAAGUGGCGCUGUUGAGUUCUUUGCAUGUAUUAAAAUAAGAAUUUCCAGACAGAUGAUGAUAAUAGAAAUUACAGUCGGAGCAAGAGAGCAAAACAUUACGUGCAUAACGAGCAGCUGCCUUAAUUUGCUAGAUAAAUGCCAAUAUACCAUCACUAAGUCCGAUUAGCUCCUCAGGUAGGUCAUGUUGUACUUUAUGAAACAGACCUGUUAUAUUGUGAUGUUUUCAAUUGCUGUCUAAAUAACCCAUCAAAAAACCUAUUUUUAAGUUCAAA